This 26-nucleotide non-coding RNA is filed under the name Homo sapiens (human). Lineage: Eukaryota; Metazoa; Chordata; Mammalia; Primates; Hominidae. The record is from RNAcentral.
UGGAGGAUGAUAGGGAACAUGUUGGU